RNAcentral lists this ribosomal RNA (981 nucleotides) under soil metagenome. Its description in RNAcentral is "bacterial SSU rRNA". It matches the Rfam family "Bacterial small subunit ribosomal RNA", at positions 8 to 989 of the family's 1533-position model. The record is from RNAcentral.
AGAGUUUGAUCCUGGCUCAGGAUGAACGCUAGCGGCAGGCCUAAUACAUGCAAGUCGAACGGGAUCCACCAGCUUGCUGGUGGUGAGAGUGGCGCACGGGUGCGUAACGCGUGAGCAACCUGCCCGUCCCAGGGGGAUAGCCCCUCGAAAGAGGGAUUAACACCGCAUAACGUUGGUAGGUGGCCUCACUUACCGACCAAAUAUUUAUAGGGGACGGAUGGGCUCGCGUGACAUUAGCUAGUUGGUGGGGUAACGGCCCACCAAGGCGACGAUGUCUAGGGGCUCUGAGAGGAGAAUCCCCCACACUGGUACUGAGACACGGACCAGACUCCUACGGGAGGCAGCAGUAAGGAAUAUUGGUCAAUGGGCGGGAGCCUGAACCAGCCAUGCCGCGUGCAGGAGGACGGCCCUACGGGUUGUAAACUGCUUUUGCACGGGAACAAACCCCGGUACGUGUACCGGUUUGAGUGUACCGUGAGAAUAAGGAUCGGCUAACUCCGUGCCAGCAGCCGCGGUAAUACGGAGGAUCCAAGCGUUAUCCGGAUUUAUUGGGUUUAAAGGGUGCGUAGGCGGCGCGCUAAGUCAGUGGUGAAAGACGGUGGCUCAACCAUCGCAGUGCCGUUGAUACUGGCGCGCUUGAAUGCGGAUGAGGUAGGCGGAAUGUGGCAAGUAGCGGUGAAAUGCAUAGAUAUGCCACAGAACACCGAUUGCGAAGGCAGCUUACCAAGGCGCGAUUGACGCUGAUGCACGAAAGCGUGGGGAUCGAACAGGAUUAGAUACCCUGGUAGUCCACGCCCUAAACGAUGAUGACUCGGUGUCGGCGAUACACAGCCGGCGCCCAAGCGAAAGCGUUAAGUCAUCCACCUGGGGAGUACGCCCGCAAGGGUGAAACUCAAAGGAAUUGACGGGGGCCCGCACAAGCGGAGGAGCAUGUGGUUUAAUUCGAUGAUACGCGAGGAACCUUACCCGGGCUUGAAAGUU